RNAcentral lists this ribosomal RNA (423 nucleotides) under Anomaloglossus surinamensis group sp. ABGD cluster 6. Its description in RNAcentral is "partial large subunit ribosomal RNA". It matches the Rfam family "Bacterial large subunit ribosomal RNA", at positions 1833 to 2457 of the family's 2925-position model. The record is from RNAcentral. Lineage: Eukaryota; Metazoa; Chordata; Amphibia; Anura; Aromobatidae.
CUUGACUUAACCAUAAGAGGUCCAGCCUGCCCAGUGACAUUGUUCAACGGCCGCGGUAUUCUAACCGUGCGAAGGUAGCGUAAUCACUUGUCCUUUAAAUGAGGACUAGUAUGAACGGCCACACGAAAGCUAUGCUGUCUCCUUUUUCUAAUCAGUUAAACUAAUCUCCCCGUGAAGAAGCGGGGAUGAUUAUAUAAGACGAGAAGACCCUAUGGAGCUUUAAACAAUUGAAACACUUGUACCCAUCUUCCACACUUCCGACAGCCUACGCUUAAUUUUACACUUUGUUUCUAGCUUUAGGUUGGGGUGACCACGGAGAAAAAACAAACCUCCACGCUGAAAGAGUUAAUCUCUAAACAAAAAGCUACAUCUUUAAGUAUUAAUACAUUAACCUGAAUUGACCCAAUAAAUUGAUCAACGAAC